AUAGGUAUAGCUCAGUGGUAGAGUGCAUGCUUAGCACACACAAGGUCCUGGGUUCAAUCUCCAGUACUUCCA
This 72-nucleotide transfer RNA is filed under the name Camelus bactrianus (Bactrian camel). It matches the Rfam family "tRNA". Rfam says of the family: Transfer RNA (tRNA) molecules are approximately 80 nucleotides in length. Lineage: Eukaryota; Metazoa; Chordata; Mammalia; Artiodactyla; Camelidae. RNAcentral also lists the same sequence under 1 other name. The record is from Rfam by way of RNAcentral.